This 431-nucleotide ribosomal RNA is filed under the name uncultured bacterium. RNAcentral describes it as "partial 16S ribosomal RNA". It matches the Rfam family "Bacterial small subunit ribosomal RNA", at positions 29 to 507 of the family's 1533-position model. The record is from RNAcentral.
AACGAACGCUGGCGGCAGGCUUAACACAUGCAAGUCGAGCGCCCCGCAAGGGGAGCGGCAGACGGGUGAGUAACGCGUGGGAACGUACCUUUUGGUUCGGAACAACUCCGGGAAACUGGAGCUAAUACCGGAUAAGCCCUAACGGGGAAAGAUUUAUCGCCGAAAGAUCGGCCCGCGUCUGAUUAGCUAGUUGGUGAGGUAACGGCUCACCAAGGCGACGAUCAGUAGCUGGUCUGAGAGGAUGAUCAGCCACACUGGGACUGAGACACGGCCCAGACUCCUACGGGAGGCAGCAGUGGGGAAUAUUGGACCAUGGGCGCAAGCCUGAUCCAGCCAUGCCGCGUGAGUGAUGAAGGCCUUAGGGUUGUAAAGCUCUUUUGUCCGGGAAGAUAAUGACUGUACCGGAAGAAUAAGCCCCGGCUAACUUCGUG